CGUAGAUCCUGCUGUUGUUAAAGCAUCCUGCAAGACAUAUUUUGAAACUGUUCGAAGGGGUUACAGGAUGGCCCAAGAUGAGAACAAAGAGAAGAUGGAGGACAGCAGGAUCAUUGCUCGCACGAGACAAAGAAAAAGAAGACUGCUGAGCAGCAGGACUGGUGUUCUCCAGACAGAGGAAGAGGCAG
Xyrauchen texanus (razorback sucker) is the source of this 188-nucleotide long non-coding RNA. RefSeq lists it as uncharacterized. NCBI's taxonomy places the organism in Eukaryota, Metazoa, Chordata, Actinopteri, Cypriniformes, Catostomidae. The transcript is spliced from 3 exons. The record is from RefSeq and is a predicted model, not a curated record.